UUUAAACUAGGGAUGAGAUACCCUAUUAUUUUUAUUAAAUUAAAUUUAAUUAUUUAUUAAAUGUGAAACAUUAAAAAUAAAAAAUUUGGCGGUACUUAAUAUUUAGAGGAACUUGUUUGUUAAAUUGAUAAUCCACGAGUGGAAAAACUUAAUUUGAUAAUUUUAUGUAUUGUUGUUGAAAAAUUGUAUUAGGAGAUAAAAAUUAAAAAAUUUAAUUUAAUUAUAAUUCAAAUCAAAAUGUAGAAUAGUUAAGAAUUUAAAUGAGUUACAAUUAAAUAGAUAAUUGGAUUUUAUAAUUUAAUUUGUAAAUGAAAAUGGAUUUAAAAGUAAAUUUAUAAAAAUAUAUAAAUCAAA
Molecule: ribosomal RNA, 354 nt
Filed under: Camponotus christi foersteri
Lineage: Eukaryota; Metazoa; Arthropoda; Insecta; Hymenoptera; Formicidae
Description: partial 12S ribosomal RNA
Source: RNAcentral